AUUGAACGCUGGCGGCAUGCCUUACACAUGCAAGUCGAACGGCAGCACGGGUGCUUGCACCUGGUGGCGAGUGGCGAACGGGUGAGUAAUACAUCGGAACGUACCUUAUCGUGGGGGAUAACGCAGCGAAAGUUGCGCUAAUACCGCAUACGCCCUGAAGGGGAAAGCGGGGGACCGUAAGGCCUCGCGCGAUUAGAGCGGCCGAUGUCUGAUUAGCUGGUUGGUGAGGUAAAAGCUCACCAAGGCGAUGAUCAGUAGCUGGUCUGAGAGGACGAUCAGCCACACUGGGACUGGGACACGGCCCAGACUCCUACGGGAGGCAGCAGUGGGGAAUUUUGGGCAAUGGGGGCAACCCUGAUCCAGCAAUGCCGCGUGAGUGAAGAAGGCCUUCGGGUUGUAAAGCUCUUUUGUCAGGGAAGAAACAGCAGCUCUAACACAGUCUGCGAAUGACGGUACCUGAAGAAUAAGCACCGGCUAACUACGUGCCAGCCGCCGCAGUAA
This 501-nucleotide ribosomal RNA is filed under the name uncultured bacterium. Its description in RNAcentral is "partial 16S ribosomal RNA". It matches the Rfam family "Bacterial small subunit ribosomal RNA", at positions 30 to 523 of the family's 1533-position model. The record is from RNAcentral.